This 460-nucleotide ribosomal RNA is filed under the name uncultured bacterium. Its description in RNAcentral is "partial 16S ribosomal RNA". It matches the Rfam family "Bacterial small subunit ribosomal RNA", at positions 338 to 795 of the family's 1533-position model. The record is from RNAcentral.
CCUACGGGGUGCAGCAGUGAGGAAUAUUGGUCAAUGGACGAGAGUCUGAACCAGCCAAGUAGCGUGAAGGAUGACUGCCCUAUGGGUUGUAAACUUCUUUUAUAUGGGAAUAAAAUGUUCCACGUGUGGGAUUUUGUAUGUACCAUAUGAAUAAGGAUCGGCUAACUCCGUGCCAGCAGCCGCGGUAAUACGGAGGAUCCGAGCGUUAUCCGGAUUUAUUGGGUUUAAAGGGAGCGUAGGUGGAUUGUUAAGUCAGUUGUGAAAGUUUGCGGCUCAACCGUAAAAUUGCAGUUGAAACUGGCAGUCUUGAGUACAGUAGAGGUGGGCGGAAUUCGUGGUGUAGCGGUGAAAUGCUUAGAUAUCACGAAGAACGCCGAUUGCGAAGGCAGUUCACUGGACUGCAACUGACACUGAGGCUCGAAAGUGUGGGUAUCAAACAGGAUUAGAUACCCUGGUAGUC